RNAcentral lists this ribosomal RNA (535 nucleotides) under Oreophrynella cryptica. RNAcentral describes it as "partial 16S ribosomal RNA". It matches the Rfam family "Bacterial large subunit ribosomal RNA", at positions 1817 to 2597 of the family's 2925-position model. The record is from RNAcentral. Lineage: Eukaryota; Metazoa; Chordata; Amphibia; Anura; Bufonidae.
CGCCUCCUGCACACUCAUAUGAGGUCCAGCCUGCCCAGUGAUUUUAUUAAACGGCCGCGGUAUCCUAACCGUGCGAAGGUAGCGUAAUCACUUGUUCUAUAAAUCAGGACUUGUAUGAACGGCAUCACGAAGGUUACACUGUCUCCUUUUUUUAAUCAGUGAAAUUAAUCUCCCUGUGAAAAAGCAGGGAUAGACCUAUAAGACGAGAAGACCCUAUGGAGCUUUAAACAUAUCAUAUUUGUUAUAUCUCAACACCUCUUUAUAACAACAUAUUUAUAGUUUUAGGUUGGGGUGACCGCGGCGAAAAACAAAACCCCCGCGUUGAAACCAAGCUAAGAACCACAAUUCUAGCAUCAAUAUUUUGACAAAAUUGAUCCAAAUAAUUGAACAACGAACCAAGUUACCCUAGGGAUAACAGCGCAAUCCACUUUAAGAGCUCAUAUCGACAAGUGGGCUUACGACCUCGAUGUUGGAUCAGGGUUUCCAAGUGGUGCAGCCGCUACUAAUGGUUUGUUUGUUCAACAAUUAAUACCCU